AUUGAACGCUAGCGGCAUGCUUAACACAUGCAAGUCGAGCGGCAGCGCGAGGAGCUUGCUCCUUGGCGGCGAGUGGCGGACGGGUGAGUAACGCGUAGGAAUCUACCUCGUAGUGGGGGACAACCCGGGGAAACCCGGGCUAAUACCGCAUAAUCUUUACGAAGCAAAGCAGGGGACCUUCGGGCCUUGUGCUAUGAGAUGAGCCUGCGUCGGAUUAGCUUGUUGGUGGGGUAAAGGCCUACCAAGGCGACGAUCCGUAGCUGGUCUGAGAGGAUGAUCAGCCACACUGGGACUGAGAUACGGCCCAG
This 308-nucleotide ribosomal RNA is filed under the name uncultured bacterium. RNAcentral describes it as "bacterial SSU rRNA". It matches the Rfam family "Bacterial small subunit ribosomal RNA", at positions 30 to 334 of the family's 1533-position model. The record is from RNAcentral.